UAGGGAAUCUUCCACAAUGGGCGCAAGCCUGAUGGAGCAACGCCGCGUGAGUGAAGAAGGUCUUCGGAUCGUAAAACUCUGUUGUUAGAGAAGAACACGAGUGAGAGUAACUGUUCAUUCGAUGACGGUAUCUAACCAGCAAGUCACGGCUAACUACGNGCUAG
RNAcentral lists this ribosomal RNA (164 nucleotides) under uncultured bacterium. RNAcentral describes it as "partial 16S rRNA". It matches the Rfam family "Bacterial small subunit ribosomal RNA", at positions 355 to 511 of the family's 1533-position model. The record is from RNAcentral.